GCAAGUCGAGCGGUAACAGAGAGUAGCUUGCUACUUUGCUGACGAGCGGCGGACGGGUGAGUAAUGCUUGGGGAUCUGCCCGGUCGAGGGGGAUAACCGUUGGAAACGACGGCUAAUACCGCAUACGCCCUACGGGGGAAAGCAGGGGACCUUCGGGCCUUGCGCGAUUGGAUGAACCCAAGUGAGAUUAGCUUGUUGGUGAGGUAACGGCUCACCAAGGCGACGAUCUCUAGCUGGUCUGAGAGGAUGACCAGUCACACUGGGACUGAGACACGGCCCAGACUCCUACGGGAGGCAGCAGUGGGGAAUAUUGCACAAUGGGGGAAACCCUGAUGCAGCCAUGCCGCGUGUGUGAAGAAGGCCUUCGGGUUGUAAAGCACUUUCAGUGGUGAGGAAAGGAGGUUGGCUAAUACCUGACCUCUGUGACGUUAACCACAGAAGAAGCACCGGCUAACUCCGUGCCAGCCG
This 468-nucleotide ribosomal RNA is filed under the name bacterium 2311-S4-10-1. RNAcentral describes it as "bacterial SSU rRNA". It matches the Rfam family "Bacterial small subunit ribosomal RNA", at positions 57 to 514 of the family's 1533-position model. The record is from RNAcentral.